GAGCAAACAGGAUUAGAUACCCUGGUAGUCCACGCUGUAAACGAUGUCGAUUUGAAGGUUGUUCCCUUGAGGAGUGGCUUUCGGAGCUAACGCGUUAAAUCGACCGCCUGGGGAGUACGGCCGCAAGGUUAAAACUCAAAUGAAUUGACGGGGGCCCGCACAAGCGGUGGAGCAUGUGGUUUAAUUCGAUGCAACGCGAAGAACCUUACCUACUCUUGACAUCCAGAGAAUUUAGCAGAGAUGCUUUAGUGCCUUCGGGAAUUCUGAGACAGGUGCUGCAUGGCUGUCGUCAGCUCGUGUUGUGAAAUGUUGGGUUAAGUCCCGCAACGAGCGCAACCCUUAUCCUUUGUUGCCAGCGAUUCGGUCGGGAACUCAAAGGAGACUGCCGGUGAUAAACCGGAGGAAGGUGGGGAUGACGUCAAGUCAUCAUGGCCCUUACGAGUAGGGCUACACACGUGCUACAAUGGCGUAUACAAAGAGAAGCGACCUCGCGAGAGCAAGCGGAACUCAAAAAGUACGUCGUAGUCCGGAUUGGAGUCUGCAACUCGACUCCAUGAAGUCGGAAUCGCUAGUAAUCGUAGAUCAGAAUGCUACGGUGAAUACGUUCCCGGGCCUUGUACACACCGCCCGUCACACCAUGGGAGUGGGUUGCAAAAGAAGUAGGUAGCUUAACCUUCGGGAGGGCGCUUACCACUUUGUGAUUCAUGA
Molecule: ribosomal RNA, 708 nt
Filed under: uncultured bacterium
Lineage: Bacteria
Description: bacterial SSU rRNA
Rfam family: Bacterial small subunit ribosomal RNA
Source: RNAcentral